Molecule: ribosomal RNA, 495 nt
Filed under: uncultured bacterium
Lineage: Bacteria
Description: partial 16S ribosomal RNA
Rfam family: Bacterial small subunit ribosomal RNA
Source: RNAcentral
GACGAACGCUGGCGGCGUGCCUAAUACAUGCCAGUAGAACGCUGAAGGAGGAGCUUGCUCUUCUGGAUGAGUUGCGAACGGGUGAGUAACGCGUAGGUAACCUGCCUGGUAGCGGGGGAUAACUAUUGGAAACGAUAGCUAAUACCGCAUAAGAGUAGAUGUUGCAUGACAUUUGCUUAAAAGGUGCAAUUGCAUCACUACCAGAUGGACCUGCGUUGUAUUAGCUAGUUGGUGGGGUAACGGCUCACCAAGGCGACGAUACAUAGCCGACCUGAGAGGGGGAUCGGCCAACCUGGGACUGAGACACGGCCCAGACUCCUACGGGAGGCAGCAGGAGGGAAUCUUCGGCAAUGGACGGAAGUCUGACCGAGCAACGCCGCGUGAGUGAAGAAGGUUUUCGGAUCGUAAAGCUCUGUUGUAAGAGAAGAACGAGUGUGAGAGUGGAAAGUUCACACUGUGACGGUAUCUUACCAGAAAGGGACGGCUAACUACGUG